Molecule: ribosomal RNA, 612 nt
Filed under: uncultured bacterium
Lineage: Bacteria
Description: bacterial SSU rRNA
Rfam family: Bacterial small subunit ribosomal RNA
Source: RNAcentral
CUGCGGCGGAUUAGCUAGUUGGUGGGGUAACGGCCUACCAAGGCGAUGAUCCGUAGGGGGCGUGAGAGCGUGGCCCCCCACACUGGCACUGAGACACGGGCCAGACUCCUACGGGAGGCAGCAGUGAGGAAUAUUGCACAAUGGGCGCAAGCCUGAUGCAGCAACGCCGCGUGAGGGACGAAGGCCUUCGGGUCGUAAACCUCUUUUCUGGGGAAAGAGCAAGGACGGUACCUCAGGAAUAAGUCUCGGCUAACUACGUGCCAGCAGCCGCGGUAAAACGUAGGAGGCGAGCGUUAUCCGGAUUUACUGGGCGUAAAGCGCACGCAGGCGGCUCCGUGAGUCGGACGUGAAAGCUCUCGGCUUAACCGGGAGAGGCCGUUCGAUACUGCGGGGCUUGAGGUAGGGAGAGGAAUGCGGAAUUCCCGGUGUAGUGGUGGAAUGCGUAGAUAUCGGGAGGAACACCUGUGGCGAAAGCGGCAUUCUGGCCCUCACCUGACGCUGAGGUGCGAAAGCGUGGGUAGCAAACAGGAUUAGAUACCCUGGUAGUCCACGCCGUAAACGAUGUCAACUGGGUGUCGGUAGUUUUACACUAGCGGUGCCGAAGCUAACGCG